This is a non-coding RNA of Oesophagostomum dentatum (nodular worm), 47 nucleotides long. The record is from Rfam. Lineage: Eukaryota; Metazoa; Nematoda; Chromadorea; Rhabditida; Strongylidae.
CCAACGGCCCUCUUUAGGGCCACAUUUCUAUAUCGAAUACCCUGAAG